AACGCACAUUGCGCCCCUUGGUAUUCCGGGGGGCAUGCCUGUUCGAGCGUCAUUAUCACCCCUCAAGCUCAGCUUGGUGUUGGGGCCUGCCCGUCACAGGGCAGCCCUUAAAAGCAGUGGCGGUGCCAUCUGGCUCUAAGCGUAGUAAUACUCCUCGCUAUAGACGUCUGGUGGUAUCCUGCCAAAACCCCCCAUAUUUUUAAUGAUUGACCUCGGAUCAGGUAGGGAUACCCGCUGAACUUAA
Molecule: unclassified non-coding RNA, 244 nt
Filed under: uncultured Ascomycota
Lineage: Eukaryota; Fungi; Ascomycota
Description: sequence contains ITS2
Source: RNAcentral